Molecule: ribosomal RNA, 498 nt
Filed under: uncultured bacterium
Lineage: Bacteria
Description: partial 16S ribosomal RNA
Rfam family: Bacterial small subunit ribosomal RNA
Source: RNAcentral
AUUGAACGCUGGCGGCAUGCCUUACACAUGCAAGUCGAACGGUAACAGGCCGCAAGGUGCUGACGAGUGGCGAACGGGUGAGUAAUGCAUCGGAACGUGCCCAGUCGUGGGGGAUAACGCAGCGAAAGCCGUGCUAAUACCGCAUACGAUCUAGGGAUGAAAGCGGGGGACCGUAAGGCCUCGCGCGAUUGGAGCGGCCGAUGUCAGAUUAGCUAGUUGGUGGGGUAAAGGCCCACCAAGGCGACGAUCUGUAGCUGGUCUGAGAGGACGACCAGCCACACUGGGACUGAGACACGGCCCAGACUCCUACGGGAGGCAGCAGUGGGGAAUUUUGGACAAUGGGCGCAAGCCUGAUCCAGCAAUGCCGCGUGCAGGAAGAAGGCCUUCGGGUUGUAAACUGCUUUUGUACGGAACGAAACGGCCUGGGUUAAUACCCUGGGCUAAUGACGGUACCGUAAGAAUAAGCACCGGCUAACUACGUGCCAGCCGCCGCAGUAA